RNAcentral lists this unclassified non-coding RNA (310 nucleotides) under uncultured fungus. RNAcentral describes it as "partial contains 5.8S ribosomal RNA and internal transcribed spacer 2". The stretch from base 1 to 133 matches the Rfam family "5.8S ribosomal RNA", at positions 22 to 154 of the family's 154-position model. The record is from RNAcentral. Lineage: Eukaryota; Fungi.
UGGUUCUGGCAUCGAUGAAGAACGCAGCGAAAUGCGAUAAGUAAUGUGAAUUGCAGAAUUCAGUGAAUCAUCGAAUCUUUGAACGCACAUUGCGCCCUUUGGUAUUCCGAGGGGCACGCCUGUUCGAGCGUCAUUUAAACCAUCAAGCCCAGCUUGGUCUUGGACGAGGUCGAGUGACCCGUCUGCAACCCGUUGGCGGUACGGUCCGGCUUCAAGCGUAGCAAAAAUUUCGCUUCAGGAGUCCGCGGCGGUGCUCGCCAGGUAAUUAUACUCAAAGUUUGACCUCGGAUCAGGUGAGGAUACCCGCUGA